This is a long non-coding RNA of Oppia nitens, 164 nucleotides long. RefSeq lists it as uncharacterized. NCBI's taxonomy places the organism in Eukaryota, Metazoa, Arthropoda, Arachnida, Sarcoptiformes, Oppiidae. The record is from RefSeq and is a predicted model, not a curated record. The transcript has 3 exons.
GGCGGUCAAUUUGUCGGAAGUUUUAUACAGGGAUUACGAGAAACAUUUAAAUCUGGUUUUCCCGAUAAUGUUUCCACAUAUUCAGUAGUUUCCGGUAUAUUUUCAUCAGCAACUGCAAUGGGAUCGGCAAUCGGUCCGGGAAUUGGCGGUUAUAUGUUGGGACA